Molecule: long non-coding RNA, 514 nt
Organism: Ornithodoros turicata
Lineage: Eukaryota; Metazoa; Arthropoda; Arachnida; Ixodida; Argasidae
Exons: 3
Source: RefSeq, a predicted model, not a curated record
UCAACGUGAGGCAAGGCGGGUCGUUAUUUGAAUAGAUUCCGAUUCCCCCUUACUUCACGUUUUCAGAAGGAGCACAGAAUCCACGGCUACAUUCGCAGAAUGCAGAGGUCCACCUUCGUGCGCCAGCAUCCAUACCAGCAUCGGGGAGGACAGGGCAACAAGCAAAGGUUGCACGACGCUGCAAUCCUGACUGUCCCCGAUGGUAAAAGAACUGGUUUCCCGGUAAAGAACUGGUAAUGUUAGGUUGGACGACGAGGUGGGAGUCCCAAAAUAGAGCGACCAAGGGAGAGGACAGCCAACAACGGCAGCGGCACUCUGCUGUCGGAGAGAGCCAAACAGCACGUGGGGGAGCCGCACGCCGCCAACAGAGAAUGGCUUCCUCGCUGCUCGUCGUCCUGAAGGAGGCGCAUGAAAAGAGCGCGAGGCACAUAGAAAAGGCCGGCACUGGAGAGACUGAACAGAAAAUGCAAUAAAUACUGUUGAAUACUGUUUAAACUGUUUCCUGUUUAAGUCU